This 253-nucleotide ribosomal RNA is filed under the name uncultured bacterium. RNAcentral describes it as "partial 16S ribosomal RNA". It matches the Rfam family "Bacterial small subunit ribosomal RNA", at positions 524 to 776 of the family's 1533-position model. The record is from RNAcentral.
UACGUAGGGACCGAGCGUUGUCCGGAUUCAUUGGGCGUAAAGAGCUCGUAGGCGGCUGUUCAAGUCGAACGUGAAAACUCGGAGCUCAACUCCGAGCCUGCGUUCGAUACUGGACGGCUAGAGUCUGGUAGGGGGAUCUGGAAUUCCUGGUGUAGCGGUGGAAUGCGCAGAUAUCAGGAGGAACACCGGUGGCGAAGGCGGAUCUCUGGGCCUUGCCUGACGCUGAGGCGCGAAAGCUAGGGGAGCGAACAGG